This 1200-nucleotide long non-coding RNA is filed under the name Gadus morhua (Atlantic cod). RNAcentral's name for it is "lncRNA (ENSGMOG00000029324.1)". Lineage: Eukaryota; Metazoa; Chordata; Actinopteri; Gadiformes; Gadidae. The record is from RNAcentral.
AUGCCCGUGCGACAGAGAGAGGCCCAGCGAGCUCUGGAGCUGCUGCAGAGGUAUCGCUCCAGCCUGGACCAGAGAACACGGAGCCAGGGGCCCGACAUCACCGGCCCCGGGGGGCCCGACGGCACCGGCCCUGGGCAGCCCGAUGGCACCGGCCCCGCGGAGCACGACCUCCAGCUCCAGCAGUCCCUGGACCGGGUCAUCACCGUCUUCCAGAGCCAGCUGUUCAACGCGCUGCUAGACAUCCAGGAGUACUAUGAGCUGACCCUCCAGUCAGACAGUCAGCCCCCUGGGGACCCAACCCCUGCUCUGGGGGAGGCGGGGCCGGGCUGUGGCCCCCCACCGGAGCUCUCCAGCCAGACAGACCUUCCCUCCGUCCCCCUCGGCGCCCCGCCCCCCUCGGGACCACCGGCAUCGUCCGGGUCUUCGGGCCCUAAACGCAAAUCCGUGAAGGCGCCGGCCCCCCCGGUCCCGUCUGGGGGCCCCGGGGAGAAGGCACCCUGUUCACCGUCCCCUAAGGUCAAGAGCCGCGCCCCGCCCCCGCCCGUCCAGCCCAGAGCCUACCGAUCAGAGCAGGUGGACGGGGCCCUGAAGGUCUCGGCCAAUGGGAUCCAUCCGUUCCUAAACACCUCCUCCAACGGACCGGAGACCCCGUCCUCCCCGAUGACCGGCCCGUCUACUGGGGGCGGAAGCCCUCCCCUCCCCGGCUCCGCCCCUCUCUGCCCGGGCGCCGUCUCCGCCCUCGUCUCGGCCACCAUCCAAGGCCUCGCCUCGCCCGCCUCGCUGGAAGCCGCCGCCGCCGCCGCCCCCGUCACCGUGGCGACCCCUCAGGGCAGCCAGGUUGCCGCCGUCGCCGCGGCCAGCCCUCCGGCUCCCGCCCCGGUGGUGUCGUCCCAGCCGAGGCCCAGCACCCUCCCCCUCCCCCUCCCCGGCCCCCCCUCCCUCGGAGGGCCCCGCUCUGGGCGGGCCGUCCCAGAGCCGGUCAGGUCCGGUCCCGCCAGCCCCCGCCUGGGACCGACCGCCGUCGGCCGCCAGGGCUCCGCUCUGAGCCAGGGGCCCCUCUACACCACGGACCCCCUGCUGAGUCCAACCAGUCCAGGGACCAAGGGCCCCACCUCCCCAGGGGGCCAGCCAGGGGCCAGCCCGCACACACCCAAGGUACGCUGCUCCGUUGUUUGUGUUAACGUUGUGUGUGCUGACUGA